AUGGCGAUCGACGAGCCCGCCAAAAGCAAGAGAGGGGCGCCAGCGGGUGAUCCCCACUCUGCCAAGUCCAAGACGGGGCAGAAGAUGGUCCAUCGAAGGCGCCCUUUGCUUGAUGAAGGCAGCAGCAGCAGAAACGAAGACGGCGACGGCGACGACGAUUUUGAGCCUAUGGCUAUGGGAGGGACGCCAGCGGGUUAUCCCCCCCAUUCUGCCAGGACCAAGAUGGGGCAGAAGAUGUCGUUGGCACAUCGAAGGCUCUCUUUGCUUGACGAUGGCAGUAGCAUCAGUAGACACAUUGCUGCUGCUGCUGCUGCGGCUGAUGAUGUUGGUGGUGGUUCUGAGCAGAUGGGUGAGGAGUUCGCUGUUGAUGUUGCUCAGAAGAAUACAGCAGUUGAUGACAGCGAUGAUCCAGAUGGUAGCGAGGACGACUUUGUUCCAUUGAUAAUGAUGAGAACCAAGAAUGUGAAGAGUGAGCCUGGAAAGCAUCCCGGCCUCCGAUAUAAACACAAAACCCAGAGAACUAUCAAUAAAACUUAUAAAAGGAAGAAGACAGGGAGGUCAGCAGGUCCAGUAUAUGCCAAGAGAAAGGUAGAGAAGAAGCCAAGAUUGGUUGGCAGCAACAACAUUAGUAAGAUAUCUGAUGAUGAUGGCCAGAAGAAAUAUGCAAGCUAUAGUGUUUUGGGCUUCUAUGCCACUGCUUUUGACAGAGCUUUGGAGGUAGAAAAGAAAUUGCCAGCAGAAGGUCCGAGCUUCGUCAAGCUUAUGCAGAUAUCACAUGUUGUAAGGGUUUUUUGGCUGGGUGUCCCGGUUAGCUUUUGCAGAGAGCAUCUUCCAAAUCAUGAUGUUACAAUUGUAUUAGAAGAUGAGGAUGGUCACCGGUUUGAUACAAAUUAUCUAGCGCGCAAGCAGGGCCUCAGUGGUGGGUGGAAUAGAUUUGCAACGCGACAUCAUCUUAAGGUCGGCGAUGCAGUGGUCUUUCAACUCGUGGAACCAACAAGAUUUAAGGUGUACAUACUGAGAGAGAGUAAGUUCAGUACAACCGAUGGAGCACUCAGUCUCCUGAGUUUAGACACGUCCAUGGAAAACAACAUGCCCGAAAAAGGAGAAGAUACUUCUGAUGAAGAUGCCAAGUCCAGGGAGGAUCCAGAAGUCACCAAAGUCGUCACCAACAAAGCAUCCGAUGAUGAUAGCAACGACCUUUUUAGUGAAGCAGCAGCAAACGGGGGCGUCGGAUCCCCAGAUCCAGACCCUGAUUUCGACGCCGUGAAAACAUUCAGAACCUUCAAGAUGGCCAUCGACAGUUCUGUCAUCGACCACAAACUAGUCCAAGAUCGCCUGCUUUGGACGUACUACAAGCUCUGCGGCGACCGGAAGGCGUUCCUCCACAGGCGUCUGCCGAAGCACAUAAACCUGACGCUAGCCGCAGGGGUGAUAGUAGAGACGGCCAGCAUCGCUGAGGGCAUCAGGUCCUACCCCAGCUCCUGCUCUUCCUGCGAGGACCUCGCGGCGUGGAAGAAGACCCUGGAGUCCUUCGAGCUGCUGGGAAUGGACGUGGGCUUCAUACGCGAGCGCCUUGAUGAGCUCCUUUUCCUCCUUGACGCCCGGUCAUCGGAUGAUCACCCGCCAGAGGGGUAUGAGGAGGUGAAGCUGGAGCGUGCUCGUGCCGCGGAGAAGGUGAGGGCCCUCGAGUCGAAGAUGGCGAGCCUGAAGGAUGCUCUCAAGGAUAUGGAGAUGGAGAUGGAGGAGAUCGCGGAGAAGAGGAGGGGCCAUGCCUUGCUGCAGCUGGCGGCCGCGCCAUGGUGA
RNAcentral lists this ribosomal RNA (1803 nucleotides) under Triticum aestivum (bread wheat). Its description in RNAcentral is "partial small subunit ribosomal RNA". The record is from RNAcentral. Lineage: Eukaryota; Viridiplantae; Streptophyta; Magnoliopsida; Poales; Poaceae.